AGCUUUUUGAAUCCAUGCAGAGAUUUCAUCAGACACCAACCCAUUACGUCUGAUCAAACUUCCAAGAUAUGUGAAGUU
Non-coding RNA from Schistosoma rodhaini, 78 nucleotides. The record is from Rfam. Lineage: Eukaryota; Metazoa; Platyhelminthes; Trematoda; Strigeidida; Schistosomatidae.